GAACGAACGCUGGCGGCAGGCCUAACACAUGCAAGUCGAACGCCCGUAGCAAUACGGGAGUGGCAGACGGGUGAGUAACGCGUGGGAACGUGCCCUUCGGUUCGGAAUAACUCAGGGAAACUUGAGCUAAUACCGGAUACGUCCGUAAGGAGAAAGAUUUAUCGCCGAAGGAUCGGCCCGCGUCGGAUUAGCUAGUUGGUGGGGUAACGGCCCACCAAGGCGACGAUCCGUAGCUGGUCUGAGAGGAUGAUCAGCCACACUGGGACUGAGACACGGCCCAGACUCCUACGGGAGGCAGCAGUGGGGAAUAUUGGACAAUGGGCGAAAGCCUGACCCAGCCAUGCCGCGUGAGUGAAGAAGGCCUUAGGGUUGUAAAGCUCUUUCAGC
Molecule: ribosomal RNA, 387 nt
Filed under: uncultured bacterium
Lineage: Bacteria
Description: bacterial SSU rRNA
Rfam family: Bacterial small subunit ribosomal RNA
Source: RNAcentral